Molecule: ribosomal RNA, 2048 nt
Filed under: human gut metagenome
Description: bacterial LSU rRNA
Rfam family: Bacterial large subunit ribosomal RNA
Source: RNAcentral
AAGAUGGGGGGACCAUCCUCCAAGGCUAAAUACUCGUGAUCGACCGAUAGCGUACCAGUACUGUGAAGGAAAGGUUAAAAGAACCCCGGGAGGGGAGUGAAAUAGAUCCUGAAACCGCAUACAUACAAACAGUAGGAGCCUCGUUAAGGGGUGACUGCGUACCUUUUGCAUAAUGGGUCAGCGACUUACGUUUAAUGGCGAGCUUAACCGUAUAGGGGAGGCGCAGCGAAAGCGAGUUCGAACAGAGCGUUCAGUCGUUAGGCGUAGACCCGAAACCAGAUGAUCUAUCCAUGGCCAGGUUGAAGGUGUGGUAACACACACUGGAGGACCGAACCGACUAGUGUUGCAAAAUUAGCGGAUGAGCUGUGGAUAGGGGUGAAAGGCUAAACAAAUCUGGAGAUAGCUGGUUCUCCCCGAAAACUAUUGAGGUAGUGCCUCGUGUAUGACUCCAGGGGGUAGAGCACUGUUAUGGCUAGGGGGACAUGGCGUCUUACCAAACCAUGGCAAACUCCGAAUACUUGGAAGUUUGAGCACGGGAGACAGAGCACCGGGUGCUAACGUCCGGACUCAAGAGGGAAACAACCCAGACCGCCGGCUAAGGUCCCUAAUAUUGACUAAGUGGAAAACGAAGUGGAAAGGCUAAGACAGUCAGGAAGUUGGCUUAGAAGCAGCCAUCCUUCAAAGAAAGCGUAAUAGCUCACUGAUCGAGUCUUUCUGCGCGGAAGAUGUAACGGGGCUAAGUCAAUAACCGAAGCCGCGGAUUCACACUUAUGUGUGAGUGGUAGGGGAGCGUUCUGUAAGCCUGCGAAGGUGACUCGUAAGGGUUGCUGGAGGUAUCAGAAGUGCGAAUGCUGACAUGAGUAACGUUAAAGCGGGUGAAAAGCCCGCUCGCCGUAAGCCCAAGGUUUCCUGCUCUACGUUCAUCGGAGCAGGGUGAGUCGGCCCCUAAGGUGAGGCUGAGAAGCGUAACUGAUGGGAACAAGGUUAAUAUUCCUUGACCACCGCUGAAUGCGAAGGGGGGACGGAGUAUUGAAGAUCAUCCGGGUGUUGGAUAUCCCGGUUUGCGAGCGUAGGAGGCUGACAGGCAAAUCCGUCAGCGAAUCUCCGAGGCAAAGCAUCGAGCUCUCUUUUGAGCGAAGUGAUUGGAUGUGCUUCCAGGAAAAGCCUCUAAGCUCCAGUUCAGCGGGACCGUACCGCAAACCGACACUGGUGGGCGAGCUGAAUAUGCUCAGGCGCUUGAGAGAACUCAGGAGAAGGAACUCGGCAAAUUGACACCGUAACUUCGGGAUAAGGUGUGCCUUUGUAGCGUGGAGGGAGAAACACCCCGAGCGCGAAGAGGUCUCAGAUAAUCGGUGGCUGCGACUGUUUAUUAAAAACACAGCACUCUGCAAAGACGAAAGUCGACGUAUAGGGUGUGAUGCCUGCCCGGUGCUGGAAGAUUAAUUGAUGGGGUGCAAGCUCCUGAUCGAAGUCCCAGUAAACGGCGGCCGUAACUAUAACGGUCCUAAGGUAGCGAAAUUCCUUGUCGGGCAAGUUCCGACCUGCACGAAUGGCAUAACGAUGGCCACACUGUCUCCUCCUGAGACUCAGUGAAGUUGAAGUGUUUGUGAUGAUGCAAUCUCCCCGCGGCUAGACGGAAAGACCCCAUGAACCUUUACUGUAGCUUUGCAUUGGACUUUGAACCGAUCUGUGUAGGAUAGGCGGGAGCCUGUGAAACCACAACGCCAGUUGUGGCGGAGGCGUCCUUGAAAUACCGCCCUGAUUUGUUUGAGGUUCUAACCUGGGACAGUUAUCCUGUCCGGGGACCGUGCAUGGUAGGCAGUUUGACUGGGGCGGUCUCCUCCUAAAGGGUAACGGAGGAGUGCGAAGGUACGCUAGGUACGGUCGGAAAUCGUGCUGAUAGUGCAAUGGCAAAAGCGUGCUUGACUGCGAGACCCACAAGUCGAGCAGAUACGAAAGUAGGUCAUAGUGAUCCGGUGGCUCUGUAUGGAAGGGCCAUCGCUCAACGGAUAAAAGGUACUCUGGGGAUAACAGGCUGAUACCGCCCA